GGGUAGUCCACGCCCUAAACGAUGUGGGCUAGGUGUCGGCCCGUCAUUGGGUCGGUGCCGCAGCUAACGCGUUAAGCCCACCGCCUGGGGAGUACGGCCGCAAGGCUGAAACUCAAGGGAAUUGACGGGGGCCCGCACAAGCGGUGGAGCAUGUGGUUUAAUUCGAUACUAAGCGAAGAACCUUACCGGGCUUGACAUGCUGGUGGUACCGACCCGAAAGGGAAGGGACCCAAGGCCUUGUGCGCUUGGGAGCCAGCACAGGUGCUGCAUGGCUGUCGUCAGCUCGUGUCGUGGGACGUUGGGUUAAGUCCCGGAACGAGCGCAACCCCUGCCGCCAGUUGCCAGCGGACCUUUAAGGUGCCGGGGACUCUGGCGGGACUGCCGGCGAAUAGCCGGAGGAAGGAGGGGAUGACGUCAAGUCAUCAUGGCCCUUAUGCCCGGGGCGACACACAUGCUACAGUGCCCGGUACAAUGGGGU
Molecule: ribosomal RNA, 478 nt
Filed under: uncultured prokaryote
Description: bacterial SSU rRNA
Rfam family: Bacterial small subunit ribosomal RNA
Source: RNAcentral